GCCCCCGUAGCUCAGCUGGAAGAGCAACCCCUUCGUAUGGGUAGGCCGCUCGUUCGAGUCGAGUCGGGGGUU
Molecule: transfer RNA, 72 nt
Filed under: Acidobacteriota bacterium
Lineage: Bacteria; Pseudomonadati; Acidobacteriota
Description: Acidobacteria bacterium (soil metagenome) tRNA-OTHER
Rfam family: tRNA
About the family: Transfer RNA (tRNA) molecules are approximately 80 nucleotides in length.
Source: RNAcentral